This 253-nucleotide ribosomal RNA is filed under the name uncultured bacterium. RNAcentral's name for it is "partial 16S ribosomal RNA". It matches the Rfam family "Bacterial small subunit ribosomal RNA", at positions 524 to 776 of the family's 1533-position model. The record is from RNAcentral.
UACAGAGGGUGCGAGCGUUAAUCGGAAUUACUGGGCGUAAAGCGCGCGUAGACGGUUUUGUAAGUCAGAUGUGAAAUCCCUGGGCUCAACCUGGGAACUGCAUUUGAGACUGCAUGGCUAGAGUAUGGAAGAGGGAAGUGGAAUUUCCGGUGUAGCGGUGAAAUGCGUAGAUAUCGGAAGGAACACCGAUGGCGAAGGCAGGUCUCUGGGCUGACACUGACGCUCAUGCACGAAAGCGUGGGGAGCAAACAGG